AUUUAGUUUCUGAGGACACAGGCCUUGUGUUAGUGCAAAUUUAAGAGUGAUAGUUUUUUUUUUUUUUUUUUGCUCUAAUCUGUCUAGCUUCUAGAUAAUCAAGACAGAGGCUAUUAGAUUUAUUCAACAAGCCUUAAGGCACAAUAACUGAGCAGAUAUUAAUCUAUUCUAACCCUCUAAACUAAUCUAGCUACUUUCCAGCCCAAAUUCCCAAUAUACUUUUAGUAUUUUAGUAUUGAUUUUAGGAUUUUAAUAUUGAUUUGGCUCUCUCUGCCUGCUCCAUUUGUGUUCUCAUGGUGACUCCUGGUCCCUCACCACCUGGAGAAACCUCUCCUUCUUCUUCCACUACCCCUGCCCUGGCGGGGACUGGAAGUCCAGCCCUGUCAUCUCCUCUGCCCAGUGAUUGGCUGAUCAGCUUUUUAUCCACCCACCAGAGCUAAUUGGGGAGCAGUGUUUACACAACGCUGAGACAGGAGAUUCUUAGAAGAAGCACUACAAUGCCAUGUCGGAAUUGCAACAAGAUAUGAGGGCCCCGAAAUCAGUAUUUGAAUGAUACACGGAUAGUCGUCACACAGGGCACAAUAACAUUAUGCCAACAGCCUUGCUUUUAGACCACUGAGCAAAACCAGCUCUCCAAGCAUCUGUGGUCUGACCAAAGCCAGGCAACUGUGCUCAUCCAUCUCAGCAUACUUGUUGGUGGCCUAGAACUGGCACUCUGCCUCAUCAUGAUGCAAAUGGUAGUUUCAGGGAGGUGUGCUUUCCACAGAGUCAUUUGCUUAUACAACCUAGGAGGUGAUGAGGAGAUGGAAGGGUCUGGUCUGGGGUGGGUGGGCUGUGUGACUCUGAAAGGCCAGUGUGUGUUCGGAGGUGGACAGCACACCUGGAGCUGCACUGCUGGAAGGCUCAGACAUCUAGCUGGAGGAGAUGAUUCCAAUUGCACUCGCCACUUUAGGUCUGUGUCCAGAAAUGUAAGAAGCGAUGGAAAGUGCUAGGGUUCCUUUGUGUCCCAAGCUCUCUGGUUCUAACCCUGACUGACUUGUAGACCAUGUGAAUGAGGCUUUGAAGGUGUCCUUAGAGAUGUUUUCAUUCCCAGAAGCUUGGUGGCUUGCUUUGAGUUGCUUGUCAGGGACAGUGCAGAGUGACAGUGGAUUACAUAAAACCAGAGUUUAUCCAUCUGUCAGGUAGGAGUCCACAGUGGCAGCUGUGGGAAGUCAAGGACUCGGGCACUUCCUGUGACAUUCUGCCACCUAAGCAUAGGACUUUGAUGUUAUUGUCAGUAUGGCUGUUGAUUUCCUGAACCAUCCCUGCGGGAGUCAUACUCUGGGCUCUUUCCAGUAGAGGUUCCUGCUUAAUCCUGUUGUCCAGAAAAUAGUCACAUGGGCACAAGGUAGGUGGCGAAAUGUAGCGCUCACCCCAGCAAGCAAUGAACGGUAGGUCAGUGACUGUGGGCAAAGUAAAAGAGAUCAGAUGCGGGGUGAACACUUACUUCUGCCUCACUAGGAUCUUCAGGACAUUCAAACCUUACUGGCCCUUAAUGUGGAGGUAAUGGUUGCAUUUGGCCCAGACAGUCCCGAAGCAGCUUCCUGAUAGCCGCAGGAAUUGAGGCCAAGUGUCACUACCAUCUCAGCAUUAAGACUCAGAUACAUUUUUAGAGUCCCCUCUCUAAAUUGCUUCAUAUACUGCCUAGGAAACACUUAGGGUGUCUGUGAAGGUGCAUAUUCAUAAGUGCUCUGGCAAUUAACACUCCACCCACCCCCUCUUUCUUCUCCUCCCCCCUCCCCCUUGUCUUCCUCCUCUCCCUUCCCUUCCCCUCCCUCCCUCUCUCUCAUCUUCCCCCCACUCCCUCCUCUUCUCCAUCUCCUCAUGCCUUCUCUCUGGCCUAACAGCAAACACGAUAUUUUCACUUUAGAAGACAGUGUACCCUGAGAGGAAUAAAAAUAAUUUUCUUCCAACCUGAUGGUGCCAAACUCAUAACAGAACAACCCGACCCGGCAUUGAGAAGUUGUCUAGCAUGCACAACAGUUCAGGGCAUAGCAGAAGCCUAGAUCCAGUGUACCAGUGGGAACAGGACAGACCCAGCCUUGCCCCCUGAGGGAGGUCUAGAAUACCUUAAGUCUUGAAUCCAAAGCGGCCACAUCUCACAGGUCUUAGGAGUGUUUUUGGUCAUUCAGCGUUUUGCUUUCUCUUGACGCAGCUGUGCUCAGUAAUUGGGUGUCCCGUUUUUAGUGCAGUCUCACCAUUAGCAUUCUGCAUGUUCCAAACUUCAUUGGGUUUUGAUGGGCCCAUUCUUCAUACACCCACCCGUUCCCCAACAAACACACAGGCAGAAUCUAUGAAUCUACAUUAAAAUUUGUGUUAAAGGCGGGCUGAGAGCAAGUGUCUACCUGUACUGAAUGUAUUGUUACUAAUAAGAAUUAAAGGUCUGGAGAUGGCUCAGCUAGUCAAAGUGCUUGCCGGGUAAGCCUGACUACAUGAAUUCCACUUGGGUAUAGUGACAAGCCUGGUAACUUCUCGGGCGCCAUCUCUCAAUAGCUGCAAUCUUGACAAGUCACCAUGUUCCUCGAUAUCCCAGGUUUUAGUUUCUUGAGGUACAAACAGAGGUGCCUCCCAUGUGCUAUUGGGAGAACUGGCCUGUGCUUCAGGGUCUGUGUGGGACAGAUCCAGCCUGCAUGGUCUCAGUGACACACAUUUCAUUUGUACAUGCAUGUGUGUGUCUGUGGAUGUCUUGGUGUGUGAGUACGUGUGUGUGUCUAUGUGUACAUGUGUGUGUAUGUGUGUGUCUUUAUGUGUGUGUGCAUAUGUGUGUAUGUAUAUGUGUGUACAUGUAUGUGCAUGUGUGUAUGAGUGUGUAUGUGUGUACAUGUAUGUGCAUGCGUGUGUGUGUGUGUGUGUGCAUGUGUGUGUGUCUUUAUGUAUGCAUGCAUGUGUGUGUCUGUGUGUAUGUGUAUGUAUGUGCAUAUAUGUGCAUGUGUGUGUGUGAGUUGUCAUUCCAGUUGAUGUCUAGGAGUUCCGGAAUGAAAUGAUAGAACGUAGCAGUUGGAUUUGUAUAUCAAUCUUGUGUGGAACUCGUGGCCAAAGAGGCAGCCCUGAGGAAUUGUGUAUGUAUGACUCUGCAUGUGUGUCAUCCUCAGCACUUGAUGGCAGCACCGACUCUCAGGACCUGUCUCAGACAUGUAGAUGGAGGCCCAGCCAUUGGUGCUUUAACCAGAUGUGCAGAGGACCUGAAUGUGCAGUAUUAGCAUCUGAGAGCUGGCACCAACCUCAGACCUCAUUGGAUCUCAUAUUUCCUUGUGGACCCCCUGCCCCCCUUCUGACUCAGUGAUUCUGGACUUCAGCUCAGGCUGAGACUUUAAGUAAGACUCUGCUCUGUGGAGCUGGGGAGGUAGGAUAGCUCAGCAGGUAGAGUGCUUGCUGUGCAAACCCUGAGGACCUAUUCAGGCAUGUUGCUUGUGUUUAUAAUACCAGAGCCUUGGCAUAGGAGACAGGUGAAUCCUUGGGUCUGCUGGCCAGCCCAUCUCACCUAAUGUACAGAUUCCAGUCCAAUGGAAGAGCCUGCCUC
Molecule: long non-coding RNA, 3559 nt
Filed under: Mus musculus (house mouse)
Lineage: Eukaryota; Metazoa; Chordata; Mammalia; Rodentia; Muridae
Description: long non-coding RNA chr13:60666881-60670440
Source: RNAcentral